ACACCUCUUAAACAGCCAAACAACCUCAGUAACAAUCUCCACGUCAAAAAGCGCAGACGUGUAAAAUAAUUGCCCUGAAGACGGUUUGCCGAUGUGCAACCGAAAUAUAUCGGAAACAAAUAUAAAAUAAAAUUGUUUUUCAUUGUUUGUUUUAACAAACACGGACCUCGAGCCAGCCAACAAAAUAUUUUGAAAUAUGGAAAGGUCGCCAGAGCCAUCAAUAAAAUAAA
Molecule: long non-coding RNA, 230 nt
Organism: Drosophila montana
Lineage: Eukaryota; Metazoa; Arthropoda; Insecta; Diptera; Drosophilidae
Exons: 2
Source: RefSeq, a predicted model, not a curated record